RNAcentral lists this transfer RNA (68 nucleotides) under Prevotellaceae bacterium. RNAcentral's name for it is "tRNA-Ser". It matches the Rfam family "tRNA". From Rfam's summary of the family: Transfer RNA (tRNA) molecules are approximately 80 nucleotides in length. Their secondary structure includes four short double-helical elements and three loops (D, anti-codon, and T loops). The record is from RNAcentral. Lineage: Bacteria; Pseudomonadati; Bacteroidota; Bacteroidia; Bacteroidales; Prevotellaceae.
AUUGGUAUGGCUUAUAGGUGAUGCGCUCGGCUUGAAACCGAGAGAUGGAGGUUCGAAUCCUUCUACCA